AGAUUGAACGCUGGCGGCAGGCCUAACACAUGCAAGUCGAGCGGCAGCACGGGUACUUGUACCUGGUGGCGAGCGGCGGACGGGUGAGUAAUGCCUAGGAAUCUGCCUGAUAGUGGGGGAUAACGUUCGGAAACGGACGCUAAUACCGCAUACGUCCUACGGGAGAAAGUGGGGGAUCUUCGGACCUCACGCUAUCAGAUGAGCCUAGGUCGGAUUAGCUAGUUGGUAGGGUAAAGGCCUACCAAGGCUACGAUCCGUAACUGGUCUGAGAGGAUGAUCAGUCACACUGGAACUGAGACACGGUCCAGACUCCUACGGGAGGCAGCAGUGGGGAAUAUUGGACAAUGGGCGAAAGCCUGAUCCAGCCGUGCCGCGUGUGUGAAGAAGGUCUUCGGAUUGUAAAGCACUUUAAGUUGGAGGAAGGCAUUAAACCUAAUACGUUAGUGUUUUGACGUUACGACAGAAUAAGCACCGGCUAACUCUGUGCCAGCAGCCG
Molecule: ribosomal RNA, 496 nt
Filed under: uncultured soil bacterium
Lineage: Bacteria
Description: bacterial SSU rRNA
Rfam family: Bacterial small subunit ribosomal RNA
Source: RNAcentral